GGGGAGCCAUGGAUGGCGGCGGCGGCUCAGUGCUUGCCGUCGUCGGCGGGGGCGGCGGAGGCGAGGCGGGAGGCGAUGGCGGAGUGGUACAUGCAGUCGUGGAAGCUCUCCGUCUCCAUCAUCCGUGCGCGCAGCUGCCGCGCCUUCUCCUCCGUCAGCACGCCGAACCUCUUCCCGCCGCCGCCACGCUGCUCCGCCGCCGCCAUCGGAUUCGGCCGCGCCUCCUCCCGCGCCGCCGGCUGCGCGUCG
RNAcentral lists this unclassified non-coding RNA (249 nucleotides) under Hevea brasiliensis (rubber tree). Lineage: Eukaryota; Viridiplantae; Streptophyta; Magnoliopsida; Malpighiales; Euphorbiaceae. The record is from RNAcentral.